Molecule: ribosomal RNA, 375 nt
Filed under: uncultured organism
Description: partial 16S ribosomal RNA
Rfam family: Bacterial small subunit ribosomal RNA
Source: RNAcentral
GUAGGUGGCAAGCGUUGUCCGGAAUUAUUGGGCGUAAAGCGCGCGCAGGCGGUUCUUUAAGUCUGAUGUGAAAGCCCACGGCUCAACCGUGGAGGGUCAUUGGAAACUGGAGAACUUGAGUACAGAAGAGGAAAGCGGAAUUCCACGUGUAGCGGUGAAAUGCGUAGAGAUGUGGAGGAACACCAGUGGCGAAGGCGGCUUUUCUGGUCUGUAACUGCCGCUGAGGCGCGUAAGCGUGGGGAGCAAACAGGGAUUAGAUACCCUGGUAGUCCACGCCGUAAACGAUGAGUGCUAAGUGUUAGGGGGGUUUCCGCCCCCUUAGUGCUGCAGCUAACGCAUUAAGCACUCCGCCUGGGGAGUACGGCCGCAAGGCUG